Molecule: transfer RNA, 89 nt
Filed under: Deltaproteobacteria bacterium HGW-Deltaproteobacteria-20
Lineage: Bacteria; Deltaproteobacteria
Description: tRNA-Leu
Rfam family: tRNA
About the family: Transfer RNA (tRNA) molecules are approximately 80 nucleotides in length. Their secondary structure includes four short double-helical elements and three loops (D, anti-codon, and T loops). Further hydrogen bonds mediate the characteristic L-shaped molecular structure. tRNAs have two regions of fundamental functional importance: the anti-codon, which is responsible for specific mRNA codon recognition, and the 3' end, to which the tRNAs corresponding amino acid is attached (by aminoacyl-tRNA synthetases). tRNAs cope with the degeneracy of the genetic code in two manners: having more than one tRNA (with a specific anti-codon) for a particular amino acid; and 'wobble' base-pairing, i.e. permitting non-standard base-pairing at the 3rd anti-codon position.
Source: RNAcentral
GCGACUGUGGCGAAACAGGGGCAGACGCACCGGUUUCAGACACCGGCGUCCCGAAGGACAUCCGGGUUCGAAUCCCGGCAGUCGCACCG